This 465-nucleotide ribosomal RNA is filed under the name uncultured bacterium. Its description in RNAcentral is "partial 16S ribosomal RNA". It matches the Rfam family "Bacterial small subunit ribosomal RNA", at positions 338 to 795 of the family's 1533-position model. The record is from RNAcentral.
CCUACGGGUGGCAGCAGUGGGGAAUAUUGCGCAAUGGGCGAAAGCCUGACGCAGCGACGCCGCGUGAGGGAUGAAGGUCUUCGGAUCGUAAACCUCUGUCAGCAGGGAAGAACGGUCACUGUGCUAAUCAGCAGUGAAUUGACGGUACCUGCAAAGGAAGCACCGGCUCACUCCGUGCCAGCCGCCGCGGUAAUACGGAGGGUGCGAGCGUUAAUCGGAAUUACUGGGCGUAAAGCGCUCGUAGGCGGUAUGUCAAGUCAAGGGUGAAAUCCCCGCGCUCAACGUGGGAACUGCCUUUGAAACUGGCAAACUGGAGUGUGUGAGAGGAUAGUGGAAUUCCAGGUGUAGGAGUGAAAUCCGUAGAUAUCUGGAGGAACAUCAGUGGCGAAGGCGACUAUCUGGCACAUAACUGACGCUGAGGAGCGAAAGAGUGGGUAGCGAACAGGAUUAGAUACCCCAGUAGUC